GGGUAGACGCCGGAUGAACGGGUAUCAUUGAUGUUGAUAAUAAUAGAGUAAAACUCUUCUGCCUU
This 65-nucleotide transfer RNA is filed under the name Homoiodoris japonica. Its description in RNAcentral is "tRNA-Ile". The record is from RNAcentral. Lineage: Eukaryota; Metazoa; Mollusca; Gastropoda; Nudibranchia; Dorididae.